GACGUAGGUGGCGAACGUUAUCCGGAAUUAUUGGGCGUAAAGGAUGCGUAGAUGGUGUAGUAAGUUAUCGGUGGCAAAUCGAGGCUCAACCUCGUGGAAGUCGGUAAUACUGCUAUGCUAGAGGAUAGGAGAGGUUAACGGGACUCCCUGUGGAGCGGUGAAAUGCGUAGAUAUAGGGAAGAACACCAAUCAGGCGAAGGCAGUUAACUAUUCUAUUCCUGACAUUGAGGCAUGAAAGCGUGGGGAGCAAAACGG
RNAcentral lists this ribosomal RNA (255 nucleotides) under uncultured bacterium. Its description in RNAcentral is "partial 16S ribosomal RNA". It matches the Rfam family "Bacterial small subunit ribosomal RNA", at positions 524 to 776 of the family's 1533-position model. The record is from RNAcentral.